Molecule: ribosomal RNA, 468 nt
Filed under: uncultured bacterium
Lineage: Bacteria
Description: partial 16S ribosomal RNA
Rfam family: Bacterial small subunit ribosomal RNA
Source: RNAcentral
GGCGAACGCUGGCGGCGUGCUUAACACAUGCAAGUCGAACGGAAAGGCCCUGCUUUUGUGGGGUGCUCGAGUGGCGAACGGGUGAGUAACAAGUGAGUAACCUGCCCUUGACUUUGGGAUAACUUCAGGAAACUGGGGCUAAUACCGGAUAGGAGCUCCUGCUGCAUGGUGGGGGUUGGAAAGUUUCGGCGGUUGGGGAUGGACUCGCGGCUUAUCAGCUUGUUGGUGGGGUAGUGGCUUACCAAGGCUUUGACGGGUAGCCGGCCUGAGAGGGUGACCGGCCACAUUGGGACUGAGAUACGGCCCAGACUCCUACGGGAGGCAGCAGUGGGGAAUAUUGCACAAUGGGCGGAAGCCUGAUGCAGCAACGCCGCGUGCGGGAUGACGGCCUUCGGGUUGUAAACCGCUUUCGCCUGUGACGAAGCGUGAGUGACGGUAAUGGGUAAAGAAGCACCGGCUAACUACGUG